Molecule: long non-coding RNA, 3333 nt
Organism: Myotis myotis
Lineage: Eukaryota; Metazoa; Chordata; Mammalia; Chiroptera; Vespertilionidae
Exons: 5
Source: RefSeq, a predicted model, not a curated record
CCCGGCCCGCCCCCAGGCCGCCCCCGGGACUCGCGGCCCCGCCUCCGCCCGCACCCGGCCGCGAGGGGCGCGCAGGCCCACUGGGGGCGAGGACCCCAAACUUCUUCCUGGUGGGGCCAGAGAGGGGGACGCAUUCGGGCGGGAGGCACCCCCCUUGCCCGCCGGUGCAACCCCCCCACCCACCCUCCGGCCCAGGGCGGGCUCCGCGUCAAAGAAAACAGGGGCAGUGACACCGUGCAGAGCCAGAGCGGAGCGGCCUGCUGGACACCUCGGAAGUUCCAAAAUGGAGUCACUGUGGCCACGGGGGUCGGGUCCAGUGCUGUCAGGACCGAGGUGACGGUGUAACAGGAACGCUGGAGUGUGGCUGUGUCCCCAGUCGCACCCGGAGCCCUGCUGACUCCCGCCCACCAGGCAGGUGCCACGGGUGCUGGUGCCACGGCUGCGGCCACCGCCUGGCUUGAGACCCACGCCCUCCGCCACCUGUGGACGCCGCCAGUGACCCAGACAUCCCACCAGACGCUCACUCCCCUCCCCUCUCCGAGGGUAACCUGCGAGUGACUCUAUUGGCUCAUGGGAAGGCCUCCGCUAAUACACGGACGAUGUGGACAGACCCAGCGGGGGUGAGUGACUUUUCCCGGGGACACUCCGUUGCUCACAGCACGCACCUCGGAGCGCCCCACGGCUCUGAAAGCGACAGCUCUGCCACCCGUGCAGCCACAGCGUGGCUCUCAGGGAUCCGUGUAACCGCACAGCGGACGAGAAAGAACUCUCUAUGGGAAUUCCGUCUCAGAACGACAAAAACAGCACCAGAGUUAAGAGUUUUUCAAAAUGCUGACACGCCGAGCUCAAAAGGUUCGCCAUCACUGCCUUACAAGCUGAGCAAGCCAAGGACAGCGUGACCGUGAGUGAGAGACGUACUGGUGGCCGGCUGGGGCCCGGCCUGACUCAGGAAGGCCCACUGGCGGCCAGUCCUGUCCCCAGGCCUGUGCGGUCCAGCUGGGCAACAGGCAGCAAAGGACCCGACACAGUGACAAGUUGGGGGAGAUGUUCUUCCGGAAAAUGCACUCUGGAGGCUCCGCUCCAUUCCCCCCACCCCACUCCACCCCACCCCACCCGGCGUCCCCACCCGCGACCACGAGAGAAGCGUGGGCCCGGCCGCCUCGCUGCAGGAGCACUCGGGUGGCCCUCGCAGCAGCUACAGCCUCCUCCACGCAGGCCUCCUACCUGCCUGGAGAGCCCGGAGGUGCACGUGCAAGCAGGAUGGCCAACGCUGGAGCCUGCAGAGGCGGAUGCACACGAGGCGGAGACGCCACCUGCUGGUAGACAAGGGCACAGCAGGCAGCGACACUUUCUGGUUGCAGGUGGGGGUCCUGGCAAAGCUUCCAGGACGUGAAGAGCAUCAGCGUGCCCUGAAUGAGCGGACCUCGCCUCGAAACCCCCCUCCCGUCCCUGCCCAAUGCGGGGGGCUUCACUGCACCCCUGCGCUCCCCACAGCUGACUUACCCAGCCGCAGCACCUGUGCUCCUAAUGGGGUCAUCUGGGAGGCAGUGGAGCCAGUUGCCCCGCUGGGUCCCCCCUUUGUGGGCUGCAUCGUGUUCCUCCAAAAGAUAUGACCGCGUCCUGACCUCCAGCACCUCAGCCUGUGACCGUAUUGGGAAACGGUCAGUGCAGGCCACUCGGGCUCCUAAUCGAAUAGGCCUGGUGUCCUUACAGAAAGGGGAGGUUUGGACACAGACUGGCACACAGGGAGAAGCCGCGUGGAGACGGGGCAGAGAUGGGAGCUGAAGCCAGCGAACCCCAAAGAUCAGGGUGCGGGGUGGGGGGGGGGAGGCAGCUUCCUGCAGAGCUCUCAGAGGAUUCUGGCCUCCAGACCGUGAGCACCUGCAAACCCCCAGCUUGUGGCUCUGUCAUGGCAGCCCCAGGAACUGGUACACCCGCACCGGCUUCCCCAGAGGGAGUGUGCUCGCCGCUGCUGACGUCCAGAACAGGCCGUGGCUGCUCAGGAAGCAGGGACCGCAGGACGGGCAGCAGCAGGAAGUGCGUCCGCAGUGGAUGGAUGCGUGUCAGGGUGGCCAGGGAGCUGCGCGCCCUGCAGGUGGCAGACACAGCUCCGUGGGCAUCCUGGGAGUCACCCGGUCGCCAGCGCCCUCCCCUCGCCUGUCCGACAGGGCAGGCCCUGCUCCGAGUCCUCAUGGUGCCAGAUUAACCGAGGUCGUCUGCCCCACGCGCAUCAGACGCUAAGGAAUCCACUUGCCUGUUCCCGCGUAACAUGGAGAGCCCUGUUUUAGCUGGAGCAUCGAGGCCGCCCCAUCUCAAGCUGGGGGUUAACUCUGGGUGCGAGCCCCGCCCAGCUGGUCACCUGACCAAAUGCUUUGCCUCUGGGAACCCUGUGGGCCUGGCUUGGGAGGGAGGCGGUGAGGUCCGUCUUCAGAGUCGGCCUCUCUCGAGCCUUUCCGUUUCCGAAACGGCACAGCCCACCGUUACUCCCUGGCUACGAGCUCUCGGUUAAAGUCCUCCGCCUCCUGGAUCUGGCCCUGCCUGGCUCUCAGGCCACGGCCACAGGCCCCCCUCCACUCCACCCUGCGCUGCCCCAGGCCCUCCCCAUGCCAACCACAGCGGACGUCCAGUCACUUCUCCCUCAGACCCCAGGGCCUGUGCGCGCCUGGAGCCCAGCCCCCCCCAGAAUGCCAGUCCUCGGGCUGGGUAACAUUGGCCAGUGCCCGGGUGUGAGCAGGGGCAGGACGCGAGCUGCGUUUAGACAGCGAGGGGGGAGCUGGGUGGCGAGCACUGGCCUGUCCGGCCGUCGUGGCUAAUGAUAAGCUGCCGCCAACAACUGCCGCUUGUCCCCAGCCCUGUGCGUCCGGCCCCUCAAGAAACCCCCGUGCAGGAGAGGUGUGCCUGGGCGGAACCCAGUCAUCCUGGGCCUGCGAGCUGGAGGCCCCAUUAUGCAGACACACCCCCCCCGCCCCCUGCCAGCGCAAAGCACCUCCCUCACCUCCCCCUGGCAAAUUCCAGGUCGCUCUCCAAGGCUAGCCCGUGGCUAGCUGUCCCCUGGUAUGUAUUCGUCCAUCUUUCACCCCAUUAUAGAAUCAGUGCCCAGCCGCAGGCUGGCCAGCUGGUCUCCCAGCCUCCAUGCAGCGGGGCUGGUCACGUGGCUGAACGCCUGCCGGUGGAUGGGAGCGGAGGGGACACGCUUUCCUGCCAGGCCUCCAGCGGGGAGCACGCGGACCCCUUUCCUCCUCCCGGCUGCCCCAGUGUGGCCUGACGGUGGCAGCUGGGGCCUUCCUGGGUGGCACCGCUCACCUUGGGAUUUUACAAAAACAAUAAACUUGU